GAUGAACGCUGGCGGCGUGCCUAAUACAUGCAAGUCGAGCGAACGGACGAGAAGCUUGCUUCUCUGAUGUUAGCGGCGGACGGGUGAGUAACACGUGGAUAACCUACCUAUAAGACUGGGAUAACUUCGGGAAACCGGAGCUAAUACCGGAUAAUAUUUUGAACCGCAUGGUUCAAAAGUGAAAGACGGUCUUGCUGUCACUUAUAGAUGGAUCCGCGCUGCAUUAGCUAGUUGGUAAGGUAACGGCUUACCAAGGCAACGAUGCAUAGCCGACCUGAGAGGGUGAUCGGCCACACUGGAACUGAGCCACGGUCCAGACUCCUACGGGAGGCAGCAGUAGGGAAUCUUCCGCAAUGGGCGAAAGCCUGACGGAGCCACGCCGCGUGAGUGAUGAAGGUCUUCGGAUCGUAAAACUCUGUUAUUAGGGAAGAACAUAUGUGUAAGUAACUGUGCACAUCUUGACGGUACCUAAUCAGAAAGCCCCGGCUAACUACGUG
RNAcentral lists this ribosomal RNA (497 nucleotides) under uncultured bacterium. RNAcentral describes it as "partial 16S ribosomal RNA". It matches the Rfam family "Bacterial small subunit ribosomal RNA", at positions 28 to 507 of the family's 1533-position model. The record is from RNAcentral.